RNAcentral lists this ribosomal RNA (253 nucleotides) under uncultured bacterium. RNAcentral describes it as "partial 16S ribosomal RNA". It matches the Rfam family "Bacterial small subunit ribosomal RNA", at positions 524 to 776 of the family's 1533-position model. The record is from RNAcentral.
UACAGAGGGUGCGAGCGUUGUUCGGAAUUAUUGGGCGUAAAGGGCGCGUAGGCGGCGCGGUAAGUCACCUGUGAAAUCUCCUGGCUCAACUGGGAGCUUGCAGGCGAAACUGCCGUGCUGGAGUGUGGGAGAGGUGCGUGGAAUUCCUGGUGUAGCGGUGAAAUGCGUAGAUAUCGGGAGGAACACCUGUGGCGAAAGCGGCGCACUGGACCACAACUGACGCUGAGGCGCGAAAGCUAGGGGAGCAAACAGG